This 445-nucleotide ribosomal RNA is filed under the name uncultured bacterium. RNAcentral's name for it is "partial 16S ribosomal RNA". It matches the Rfam family "Bacterial small subunit ribosomal RNA", at positions 29 to 507 of the family's 1533-position model. The record is from RNAcentral.
AACGAACGCUGGCGGCAGGCUUACCACAUCCCCUUCGACCGAGCUGGGGGCUUCGGUCCCCUAUGCUAGUGGCGCACGGGUGAGUCACACGUGGGAAUAUGCCCUUUAGUACGGCCUAACCAAGGGAAACUUUGGCUACUACCGCAUACGCCCUUCCCUGGAAAGAUUUAUCACUAAAGGAUUAGCCCCCGUCUGAUUCGGUAGUUGUUGAGGUAAUGGCUCACCAAGCCGACGAUGAGUAGCCGGUCGGCGAGGAGGAUCAGCCACACAGGGACUGAGACACGGCCCAGACUCCGACGGGAGGCAGAAGAGGGGAAUAUAGGACAACGGGGGCAACCCUGAUCAAGCCAUGCCGCGUGAGUGAAGAAGGCAUUCGAGUUGUAAAGCUCGUUCGACGGGGACGAUGAUGACGGUACCCGUAUAAGAAGCCCCGGCAAACGUCGUG